GAUGAAGAACGCAGCGAAAUGCGAUACGUAAUGUGAAUUGCAGAAUUCAGUGAAUCAUCGAAUCUUUGAACGCAUAUUGCGCUCUCUGGUAUUCCGGAGAGCAUGCUUGUUUGAGUAUCAGUAAGCACCUCAACUUCCAUAUCUUUUUUGAAAUGGGAGUUGGACUUGAGUGAUCCCAACGCUUUUCCUCACCGAAAAGUGGCGGGUUACUUGAAAUGCAGGUGCAGCUGGACUUUUCUCUGAGCUAUAAGCAUAUCUAUUUAGUCUGCCUAAAAAACAGAUUAUUACCUUUGCUGCAGCUAACAUAAAGGAGAUUAGUUCUUGUGCUGACUGAUGCAGGAUUCACAAAGACGGCUUCGGCCGACUUUGUAAACUCGAUCUCAAAUCAAGUAAGACUACCCGCUGAACUUAAACAUAUCAAUAAGCGGAGGA
RNAcentral lists this unclassified non-coding RNA (432 nucleotides) under soil metagenome. RNAcentral's name for it is "partial contains 5.8S ribosomal RNA, internal transcribed spacer 2, and large subunit ribosomal RNA". The stretch from base 1 to 120 matches the Rfam family "5.8S ribosomal RNA", at positions 35 to 154 of the family's 154-position model. The record is from RNAcentral.